RNAcentral lists this ribosomal RNA (422 nucleotides) under uncultured bacterium. RNAcentral describes it as "bacterial SSU rRNA". It matches the Rfam family "Bacterial small subunit ribosomal RNA", at positions 355 to 774 of the family's 1533-position model. The record is from RNAcentral.
UAAGGAAUAUUGGACAAUGGAGGCAACUCUGAUCCAGCCAUGCCGCGUGAAGGAAUAAGGCCCUAUGGGUUGUAAACUUCUUUUAGACGGGACAAAACCCCUUUACGUGUAAAGGGUUGAUGGUACUGUCAGAAUAAGCAUCGGCUAACUUCGUGCCAGCAGCCGCGGUAAUACGAAGGAUGCAAGCGUUAUCCGGACUUAUUGGGUUUAAAGGGUGCGUAGGCGGACUAAUAAGUCAGUGGUGAAAGCCUGCAGCUUAACUGCAGAAUUGCCAUUGAUACUGUUAGUCUUGAGUACAGUUGAGGUAGGCGGAAUGUGUCAUGUAGCGGUGAAAUGCUUAGAUAUGACACAGAACACCGAUUGCGAAGGCAGCUUGCUAAGCUGUAACUGACGCUGAGGCACGAAAGCGUGGGUAGCAAACA